GCCAUAGACAUAAUAUUGUUUAGAAGAAAAGGAAUCUACAUUAUGAAGUAGAAUUAGUAGGUGAAGCCUGCUUAAGGCAGAGAAGCUUAGAUUUGAGAUUCGAAGGAACAUUGUAGGGUAGAUCUCAACAGGGAUUUGAGAAGUAGCAUUCUGGAUUGGGCUAUAGAAUAAGCCAAGACCUGCAGGCAAGAAAGAACAGAAGAUAAAAUAUAUGUGUGGGAGAAAAGGGGCCCUGGCUGUAACAGAGUGGGAAGAAGAGAAAAAAGAAAGAAGGAGAGCAAAAUGACUUAAAGACAUUUUCAAGAAAAAAAGAGGAGAGAAGUCACUGAAAUGGAAAAAUAAACAUAUUAUAUAACUAUUUAUUGCACUAUGCAAUAAAAACAUCUUCAGCAACAGCCACACAAGUGCGGGUAGAGGGUCUGCUUUGAAGAGAGAAAAAAGGCUGCUGCAGAAAAAACAAACCUCAAUUCAUAAUUGGAGCUUUUGUUCUUUCUGGAUUGUUUUGUGAAGAACAUGCUGCCAAAAAACAUUUUUCUUCUGUAACCGCUUCUUUUGAAACUCCAUUCUUUUUUAUUUCAAGGAUGUUUAUUAUCUACUCAUUUCUUUUUAUUUAUUUUUGAAUCAUAUACCCCAAUGUCUAGAUGACUGGGACCACUAGGUUUCAUAUUUCCCAGAUGAGAUUAGUUGUACAGUUCAUUUUGCAGGUUUAUUCAGAGCAUUUCAAUGGCAUUUCACCUACAGUUCACCUAUAUUGAGUCCUAAGAAAUUGAAGGUGUUUCUUGAUAGUUCUCCUGCUCCAUCUUCUUCCAGGGGAUUGAUUUGGCUUCUUAUGUUUUUGUAUUUGGUUGCUCAUUAGAGAUAAGCCUGAUUAUUUGGCAUUGUGUAUUUUCUCUGUUUUAAAAAGGGAAAAUACAACAUGUUAUUAAUUAUUAUGAUAUAAUAAAAAAUGGAGAGAAGGAAAAAGAUUUUCAUCCUGACACUUUGAGUCAUUUUAAGAAUUUUCAGCUUGCUUUGUCAUUUGUUUCUUUAAACUCAAGAGAUUUGGUUUCUGAAUUUGAAUAAUCUUCAAUACACUGCAUGCUGAUUCACAGGUCUCCAGUAAAACAACUUGAAAAACUCAAAAAA
Homo sapiens (human) is the source of this 1125-nucleotide long non-coding RNA. Ensembl annotates it as lncRNA SMARCA2 (BRM) associated. Its record names the gene LNCBRM. The record is from Ensembl. NCBI's taxonomy places the organism in Eukaryota, Metazoa, Chordata, Mammalia, Primates, Hominidae.